Molecule: ribosomal RNA, 328 nt
Filed under: uncultured eukaryote
Lineage: Eukaryota
Description: partial 18S ribosomal RNA
Rfam family: Eukaryotic small subunit ribosomal RNA
Source: RNAcentral
ACCCUUAGAUGUUCUGGGCCGCACGCGCGCUACACUGAUGCAUUCAACGAGUUUCUUCCUGGUCCGAGAGGAAUGGGUAACCCUUUGAAAGUGCAUCGUGAUAGGGAUAGACUAUUGCAAUUAUUGGUCUUCAACGAGGAAUUCCUAGUAGACGUAGUUCAUCAGACUGCAUCGAUUACGUCCCUGCCCUUUGUACACACCGCCCGUCGCUCCUACCGAUUGAAUGGUCCGGUGAAGCCUCGGGAUUGUGGUUCUUGCCGCUUUAUUGUGGCGUGACCGCGAGAACUUGUCUAAACCUUAUCAUCUAGAGGAAGGUGAAGUCGUAACA